RNAcentral lists this long non-coding RNA (1127 nucleotides) under Cyanistes caeruleus (blue tit). Its description in RNAcentral is "lncRNA (ENSCCEG00000015183.1)". The record is from RNAcentral. Lineage: Eukaryota; Metazoa; Chordata; Aves; Passeriformes; Paridae.
UGGGCUCGCCGUCUCCAAGCAACUGGACGCGGUGCCUCAGACAAACUGCAGUGCUCCUCUCUCCCCUCUGCAGUUCGUGGCUCGCUUCCCUCCUCCUCCUUCUUUGUGACCCUUGUUCUUCUCUCACAGAAAGCCACUUGGACCUUCCCACCAGCAGCCCAAAAGCUGCCACCUUCCAGAUAACAAAUGGUGCCAGUAGCCUUGACACUGACUUUUAAUUCCAACGCAGAUGGCUGGCAGCUCGCUCGAUAAAGACAAAGCACAUCAGUGGAGCAGAUCUUGCACCGCAUUCAGCUUGGUGCUGCUUUAGGCUCAGAUUAGCAUUUUAAAUCUUCCCAAGGCGUUGGUGACCGACAGCUAAGUGGAUUUGACCCUGGUUUGCAGACGGGUCUCAAAAAGUAUUUUCUCAGAGGGUGACAGAAUGAUGUUCCCUGGAAGGUUGUGCAAGGACUGGCUCUUGAUGCAGAGGUGUUUCAUUACAUCUUUUAAAAGGGUGUUUGGAAUCUAAACACGCUAUGAACUGUAACAGUCCCACGGGCAAUGCUUGCAGGAGUUACAAUGGGAGGGAGUGCUGGAUAAACUGGACAGCUGCAGCCUCUGUGCAGAUGGCUGAAUGCAAUCCUCAGUGUUGCAAAACGAAGCCAACUACGACCAGAAGCGGCCGAGAGCCCCGUGGAAAUCAGCUGCCACCCCAGGGGUACCCGCUGGCAGUCUCCGGAAGGCAGAGCCCGGACCGAAUACCCUACUGUGCUUUUCCUCAUCGGCUUUUCCUUUUUCUCUGCGGUGGCUGAGGUUCCUAGUACAGGACAAGGUAGAUAAGUUUAAUAGUAAAGAACACCAGUGUCUUGAUUGAGCAUCCAUCGGGAGAGACAGACUGCGAUCCAGCCCGGCUCAGGGACCCACUACGGCAGGGCUGACGUAAAGGACACAUCAAGACCGCACUGGGUUAAAAAAGAAGCCUGAAAGAGUGUAAAAGAAGAGAGGGACAGCUCUGAGCAGACUGUCGCCAACAGCUUGGCAUCACUGACCUUCGUGUCACCAGAAAGAAAGUGCAGCCUCUGCUUCACUGGAAUGAACACGAGAUGCUUCGAAAUAAAACAGCAACCUUUGGUUUGGUAAAGAGUUAC